GACGAACGCUGGCGGCGUGCUUAACACAUGCAAGUCGAACGGAAAGGCCUUUUCGGAGGUACUCGAGUGGCGAACGGGUGAGUAACACGUGGGUGAUCUGCCCUGCACUCUGGGAUAAGCCUGGGAAACUGGGUCUAAUACCGGAUAGGACCGCACUUUAGUGUGUGUGGUGGAAAGUUUUUUCGGUGUAGGAUGAGCCCGCGGCCUAUCAGCUUGUUGGUGGGGUAAUGGCCUACCAAGGCGGCGACGGGUAGCCGGACUGAGAGGUUGGUCGGCCACAUUGGGACUGAGAUACGGCCCAGACUCCGACGGGAGGCAGCAGUGGGGAAUAUUGCACAAUGGGCGCAAGCCUGAUGCAGCGACGCCGCGUGGGGGAUGACGGCCUUCGGGCUGUAAACUCCUUUCGCCAGGGACGAAGCGUUUUGUGACGGUACCUGGAGAAGAAGCACCGGCUAACUACGUG
Molecule: ribosomal RNA, 463 nt
Filed under: uncultured bacterium
Lineage: Bacteria
Description: partial 16S ribosomal RNA
Rfam family: Bacterial small subunit ribosomal RNA
Source: RNAcentral